AAUAUUGGGCAAUGGAGGCAACUCUGACCCAGCCAUGCCGCGUGCAGGAAGACUGCCCUAUGGGUUGUAAACUGCUUUUAUAUAGGAAGAAACUUUUUCACGUGUGAGAAACUGACGGUACUAUAUGAAUAAGCACCGGCUAACUCCGUGCCAGCAGCCGCGGUAAUACGGAGGGUGCAAGCGUUAUCCGGAAUCAUUGGGUUUAAAGGGUCCGUAGGCGGGCAAUUAAGUCAGAGGUGAAAUCCCACAGCUUAACUGUGGAACUGCCUUUGAUACUGGUUGUCUUGAGUUACAGUGAAGUAGAUAGAAUAUGUAGUGUAGCGGUGAAAUGCAUAGAUAUUACAUAGAAUACCGAUUGCGAAGGCAGUCUACUAACUGUUUACUGACGCUAAUGGACGAAAGCGUGGGGAGCGAAC
This 416-nucleotide ribosomal RNA is filed under the name uncultured bacterium. Its description in RNAcentral is "partial 16S ribosomal RNA". It matches the Rfam family "Bacterial small subunit ribosomal RNA", at positions 360 to 773 of the family's 1533-position model. The record is from RNAcentral.